This 230-nucleotide ribosomal RNA is filed under the name uncultured Lactobacillus sp. RNAcentral's name for it is "partial 16S ribosomal RNA". It matches the Rfam family "Bacterial small subunit ribosomal RNA", at positions 134 to 354 of the family's 1533-position model. The record is from RNAcentral. Lineage: Bacteria; Bacillati; Bacillota; Bacilli; Lactobacillales; Lactobacillaceae.
UAGUCUGGGAUACCACUUGGAAACAGGUGCUAAUACCGGAUAAGAAAGCGGAUCGCAUGAUCAGCUUUUAAAAGGCGGCGUAAGCUGUCGCUAUGGGAUGGCCCCGCGGUGCAUUAGCUAGUUGGUAAGGUAAAGGCUUACCAAGGCGAUGAUGCAUAGCCGAGUUGAGAGACUGAUCGGCCACAUUGGGACUGAGACACGGCCCAAACUCCUACGGGAGGCAGCAGGUC